Molecule: long non-coding RNA, 1317 nt
Organism: Drosophila persimilis
Lineage: Eukaryota; Metazoa; Arthropoda; Insecta; Diptera; Drosophilidae
Exons: 5
Source: RefSeq, a predicted model, not a curated record
UCUCUGCGCCAAAACCAAAACAAAACCAAUUUCGCCUAGAAAAGUGUAUUUUUAGAGUAUUGACGUAUCGGCUAUCAGGAGGAUGCAUGUAAGAAAGUGCUCCCCAGCGUGGGGGGGACUAUGCUAUUUUACGAGCUGUAUUUCACAUUUUCACAGGUCACCGCCACGCACACAAUCACAAAUAGACACGCACACGCAUACGAAUACGCACAUAAACACAUUUGUCCAAGGGAGCGCGACAAUUGCCUGAACGGCGCGGCCGGCCUUGUGGGACAUUUUGCAUGGAGCAGAGGAUGCGAUGCGAUGGUCCGGCACUGGAGGAGGAAACCUAAUGAGCGCGUACCGCCCACGCAAUGAAACGGGCCAGAGACACACACACACACAUACUAGGCAAUUUUGGGCUGCUGUCCCGGAUCUCGGGGGCAUAUCUGUCAGAAGAUGCUGCGCGACAGAGGAGGGAUGCUGCUACAGGAUGGACUCGGAUGUGCAGAUGGAUACAGAGCAGACACACGGAUGCACUGAGACAAACAAACUUAAAGGUUGAAUUCAUUCAUUUCGAUUCGAAAAUGGAUUCCUUCCUCGUACGUGUAUUUUCGCCCAGUGUAUGCCUGGUUCCCCCUCGCGGCGUGGUGGCCCCGCAUGUUACGCAUUUCCUCUUGGGAUUCCAGGGCAUUGGGCGCUGUUCUUUUGAUAUUGUAAUGUGCAUAAUAGGAUUUUUAUGACACCUUUACUGUGGGGACGGGCGGGCAUCAGGCAUCGCCAAUGGCACCAAUGGCACCAAUGGCUGCUGCCUCGCUUAAUCGCCAGUUUCCGCCUACCAUCCAUGAAGGACUGGCAGACUGGCCCCCUGUUUUCGCUGCUGAUGCUCUCCUUCUUGUCACCAAAAAGUUGCAAAUUUUAUUGGCCGGAUGUGCGGAUGUGCGGCAGCGGCAUGUGGAUUGUGGAUUGUGGAUUUGCAUCAGAUCAUGAAUUUCACACGAUGGGCUGCCGCCUGUGCGCUCACCUUUCGCAUUUCAUUUACACUUGUGCUGCAUAUUUUAUUGUGUUGUAUGUACACGGCAUUAUUGCACACAAAUGGCCAGUUACAUAUUAAGGCGAACAAUAACCGCCGACUGUGUUGUCAGGACUCUGGGGGAAACCCGGAUGUGAAUGUGGAUAUGGGUCCUCCAGAUGGCUGGCAAAAUGCCAUUUGAUUCGAGCGACACUUGAGGCUGUCUCUGUCUCCUGCUCCUGCCUCGUUGCGCAUCGUUUGGGAGCCCCCCCCCCCUCUUUAAUGGCUGUACGGAAUUAAUUUCCAAAAAUUUUUGUAAAGGUGUC